CCUACGGGAGGCAGCAGUGAGGAAUAUUGGUCAAUGGACGGAAGUCUGAACCAGCCAUGCCGCGUGCAGGAAGACGGCUCUAUGAGUUGUAAACUGCUUUUGUACAAGGGUAAACCUGAAUACGUGUAUUCAGCUGAACGUACUGUACGAAUCAGGAUCGGCUAACUCCGUGCCAGCAGCCGCGGUAAUACGGAGGAUCCAAGCGUUAUCCGGAUUUAUUGGGUUUAAAGGGUGCGUAGGCGGAUUGAUAAGUUAGAGGUGAAAUGUCCGGGCUUAACUCGGGAACUGCCUCUAAUACUGUUUAUCUAGAGAGUAGGUGCGGUAGGCGGAAUGUAUGGUGUAGCGGUGAAAUGCUUAGAUAUCAUACAGAACACCGAUUGCGAAGGCAGCCUACCAAUCUAUAUCUGACGUUGAGGCACGAAAGCGUGGGGAGCAAACAGGAUUAGAUACCCCUGUAGUC
This 460-nucleotide ribosomal RNA is filed under the name uncultured bacterium. Its description in RNAcentral is "partial 16S ribosomal RNA". It matches the Rfam family "Bacterial small subunit ribosomal RNA", at positions 338 to 795 of the family's 1533-position model. The record is from RNAcentral.